GAAAGACAGAAGAUAUACAUGUUUGACUGUGUGGGCAAGGUCCUUCCUCAAAGAGACAAGCUUCCCCUUCAUUCAAAGGGCUGUGGAUCUGUGACUGCCUUGAGGAGAACCAUGACCAUUGAGCUAAUGCAAGAGAUCUCUGCAGAUCAAAGCAUUUGGGACACUCCAGCUCUGCAACCUAUUGCAGUAACCACGAUGGCAGCUGGCCCUGACACUCUGGGAUCCCAUCAGCUUGAUUGCCUUCAAGGUGCCCACUUAAAAGGCAGCAUUUCUAACUGUCAUUGCAGCGAAUAUCUACACUGAAUUCUUCACAGAUUCUGGGCAUCUCCUCCCCAAAUUUAUUUUCUUACAGCUUUGGAGAUGGGAAUUUUCUGGGGUCCUUUUGGGGACACAUAAUUAGAGGUAAACUGUAUGUCAUAUGUGAUAAAUCCACCCUACUCUUCCAA
Long non-coding RNA from Gorilla gorilla gorilla (western lowland gorilla), 446 nucleotides. RefSeq lists it as uncharacterized. NCBI's taxonomy places the organism in Eukaryota, Metazoa, Chordata, Mammalia, Primates, Hominidae. The transcript has 2 exons. The record is from RefSeq and is a predicted model, not a curated record.